UCAAACUUGGUCAUUUAGAGGAAGUAAAAGUCGUAACAAGGUUUCCGUAGGUGAACCUGCGGAAGGAUCAUUAUCGAUUCACGGGAACGGGGAUGUGCUGGCUCGAAUCCAAUCGAGCAUUGUGUCACUCCUCUUCCCUAAUCUUCUUGCAUUUGACCCUGUGCACUUUUUGUAUGCGAGGAUGGUAACCUUCUCGCCUACGCAUUUUUUAUUAUUAACGCUAUCUUGUAUAGGAUGAUUUUGAUUCAUGUAAUCGUAACAUCUUUCAACAAUGGAUCUCUUGGCUCUCGCAUCGAUGAAGAACGCAGC
RNAcentral lists this unclassified non-coding RNA (309 nucleotides) under uncultured fungus. RNAcentral describes it as "partial contains small subunit ribosomal RNA, internal transcribed spacer 1, and 5.8S ribosomal RNA". The stretch from base 1 to 73 matches the Rfam family "Eukaryotic small subunit ribosomal RNA", at positions 1759 to 1831 of the family's 1831-position model. Lineage: Eukaryota; Fungi. The record is from RNAcentral.